This is a non-coding RNA of Vicia faba (fava bean), 426 nucleotides long. The record is from the annotation of a GenBank genome assembly. Lineage: Eukaryota; Viridiplantae; Streptophyta; Magnoliopsida; Fabales; Fabaceae.
AUGAGUGGCGGUACUAGUAUCGAUUCAGAAGAAGUUCAUGAGAACCAAUUGACUAACUAUAAAAACAGAUGGCGAUUGUUGGCUUUGGGCAGAGUUUUUUGUUGGCGAACGCUUUUGAGAAGCGUUUUUCCGCGAGCGGUUGGAAGGUGUGAUUCCGGUGUGAGGGGGACGGCUUCGAUUCGUUCUUUAUUUGAGUUGGUUCAGGCGGAGGAUUUACGACGGUGGAAGUGGAUCUGUGAGGACGUCAUGCGGGUCAAUUUGUUGACAGCGGCGAAGCUUGUGGUCAGGCUGUUAACAUUGUUGGAAUCGCGGCGGAGGGAAGACUCGAAUUCGCGGUGCAGUUUCACCCGGAGGGUGGUCAUGUACAUGGGCGAUGGUUGUGCGGCUGACGUCGGAUCUACGAACAUGUUGUGUGGGAGCUCUUGA